RNAcentral lists this ribosomal RNA (432 nucleotides) under uncultured bacterium. RNAcentral describes it as "partial 16S ribosomal RNA". It matches the Rfam family "Bacterial small subunit ribosomal RNA", at positions 338 to 795 of the family's 1533-position model. The record is from RNAcentral.
CCUACGGGUAGCAGCAGUCGAGAAUUUUUCUCAAUGGGGGAAACCCUGAAGGAGCGACGCCGCGUGGAGGAUGAAGGUCUUCGGAUUGUAAACUCCUGUCAUUUGGGAACUAGUACCAGAAGAGGAAGAGACGGCUAACUCUGUGCCAGCAGCCGCGGUAAUACAGAGGUCUCAAGCGUUGUUCGGAUUCAUUGGGCGUAAAGGGAGCGUAGGUGGCGGGGUAAGUCAGGUGUGAAAUCUCGGGGCUCAACCUCGAAACUGCACUUGAUACUGCUCUGCUUGAGUACUGGAGAGGGGAUUGGAAUUUACGGUGUAGCAGUGAAAUGCGUAGAUAUCGUAAGGAAGACCAGUGGCGAAGGCGAAUCUCUGGACAGUACUGACACUAAGGCUCGAAGGCCAGGGGAGCAAACGGGAUUAGAUACCCUGGUAGUC